UACGAGGGGGGCGAGCGUUGUUCGGAAUUACUGGGCGUAAAGCGUGCGUAGGCGGUGUCGAAAGUCAGAAGUGAAAGCCCCGGGCUUAACCCGGGAAUUGCUUUUGAUACUUCGAUGCUUGAAUCCGGAAGGGGUUGGCGGAAUUCCCAGUGUAGAGGUGAAAUUCGUAGAUAUUGGGAGGAACACCAGUGGCGUAGGCGGCUAACUGGUCCGGCAUUGACGCUGAGGCACGAAAGCGUGGGGAGCAAACAGG
Molecule: ribosomal RNA, 253 nt
Filed under: uncultured bacterium
Lineage: Bacteria
Description: partial 16S ribosomal RNA
Rfam family: Bacterial small subunit ribosomal RNA
Source: RNAcentral